UUUUUAACUCCGCCAAUUUAAAUGCACUAGCAUUGAAUUGCCGGUCCCAAGCCCGGAUAAAGGAGGAGGGAGAA
This 74-nucleotide non-coding RNA is filed under the name Macleaya cordata. Lineage: Eukaryota; Viridiplantae; Streptophyta; Magnoliopsida; Ranunculales; Papaveraceae. The record is from RNAcentral.